This 425-nucleotide ribosomal RNA is filed under the name uncultured bacterium. RNAcentral describes it as "bacterial SSU rRNA". It matches the Rfam family "Bacterial small subunit ribosomal RNA", at positions 356 to 773 of the family's 1533-position model. The record is from RNAcentral.
GGGGAAUUUUGGACAAUGGGCGCAAGCCUGAUCCAGCCAUGCCGCGUGCGGGAAGAAGGCCUUCGGGUUGUAAACCGCUUUUGUCAGGGAAGAAAAGGUUCUGGUUAAUACCUGGGACUCAUGACGGUACCUGAAGAAUAAGCACCGGCUAACUACGUGCCAGCAGCCGCGGUAAUACGUAGGGUGCAAGCGUUAAUCGGAAUUACUGGGCGUAAAGCGUGCGCAGGCGGUUAUGCAAGACAGAGGUGAAAUCCCCGGGCUCAACCUGGGAACUGCCUUUGUGACUGCAUAGCUAGAGUACGGUAGAGGGGGAUGGAAUUCCGCGUGUAGCAGUGAAAUGCGUAGAUAUGCGGAGGAACACCGAUGGCGAAGGCAAUCCCCUGGACCUGUACUGACGCUCAUGCACGAAAGCGUGGGGAGCAAAC